RNAcentral lists this ribosomal RNA (770 nucleotides) under uncultured bacterium. RNAcentral describes it as "bacterial SSU rRNA". It matches the Rfam family "Bacterial small subunit ribosomal RNA", at positions 8 to 796 of the family's 1533-position model. The record is from RNAcentral.
AUAGUUUGAUCCUGGCUCAGAACGAACGCUGGCGGCAGGCUUAACACAUGCAAGUCGAACGCGUGUAGCAAUACACGAGUGGCGCACGGGUGAGUAACGCGUGGAUAUCUGCCUUUUGGUUCGGAAUAACUCCGGGAAACUGGAGCUAAUACCGGAUGGUUCCUUCGGGAUAAAGAUUUAUCGCCAAAAGAUGAGUCCGCGUACGAUUAGCUAGUUGGUGAGGUAAUGGCUCACCAAGGCGACGAUCGUUAGCUGGUCUGAGAGGACGAUCAGCCACACUGGAACUGAGACACGGUCCAGACUCCUACGGGAGGCAGCAGUGAGGAAUCUUGCGCAAUGGGGGAAACCCUGACGCAGCAACGCCGCGUGAGUGAGGAAGGUCUUCGGAUCGUAAAGCUCUGUCGGAUGGAAAGAACCGCAUAGGGGUAAACAGCUCCUAUGUCUGACGGUACCAUCAAAGGAAGCACCGGCUAACUCCGUGCCAGCAGCCGCGGUAAUACGGGGGGUGCAAGCGUUGUUCGGAAUUAUUGGGCGUAAAGAGCGUGUAGGCGGCCUGAUGUGUCAGAUGUGAAAGCCCUGGGCUUAACCCAGGAAGUGCAUUUGAAACUGUCAGGCUUGAGUAGGGGAGAGGGAAGUGGAAUUCCUGGUGUAGAGGUGAAAUUCGUAGAUAUCAGGAGGAACACCGGUGGCGAAGGCGACUUCCUGGCCCUAUACUGACGCUGAGACGCGAGAGCGUGGGUAGCAAACAGGAUUAGAUACCCUGGUAGUCC